AAAUGAAUAGACGGGGACCCGCACAAGCAGCGGAGCAUGUGGUUUAAUUCGAAGCAACGCGAAGAACCUUACCAGGUCUUGACAUCCCGAUGUCAGGUGUAGAGAUACACCGUCUCUUCGGAGCAUUGGAGACAGGUGGUGCAUGGUUGUCGUCAGCUCGUGUCGUGAGAUGUUGGGUUAAGUCCCGCAACGAGCGCAACCCCUAUUUUUAGUUGCCAUUACGUAGAGGUGGGCACUCUAAAGAGACUGCCGUGGAUAACACGGAGGAAGGUGGGGACGACGUCAAAUCAUCAUGCCCCUUAUGGCCUGGGCUACACACGUGCUACAAUGGCCGGAAACAAAGGGCAGCGAAGCCGUAAGGUGGAGCGAAUCUCAUAAACCCGGUCUCAGUUCGGAUUGUGGGCUGCAACUCGCCCACAUGAAGUCGGAGUUGCUAGUAAUCGCGAAUCAGCACGUCGCGGUGAAUGCGUUCCCGGGUCUUGUACACACCGCCCGU
Molecule: ribosomal RNA, 496 nt
Filed under: uncultured bacterium
Lineage: Bacteria
Description: bacterial SSU rRNA
Rfam family: Bacterial small subunit ribosomal RNA
Source: RNAcentral